This 273-nucleotide ribosomal RNA is filed under the name Triticum aestivum (bread wheat). RNAcentral's name for it is "partial small subunit ribosomal RNA". Lineage: Eukaryota; Viridiplantae; Streptophyta; Magnoliopsida; Poales; Poaceae. The record is from RNAcentral.
AUGAACGACUACAGACCUAUAAGCCUGAUACAUUCCAUUGCCAAACUGAUCACAAAAGUGCUAUCCAUGAGACUAGCGGCCGUCAUUGACAAGAUUAUCUCGCCUGCUCAAACGGCCUUUCAGCGCGGGAGAUGCAUCCAUGACAGCUACCUUUACGUGCAGAAUUCUGUCCGAUCUCUUCAUAGGAACAAAACCCCAGCACUUCUUCUUAAGCUAGAUAUAGCUAGGGCCUUCGAUAGCAUAUCUUGGGAAUACCUAUUAGAAUUGCUUUAG